GGACGUCGUUUGACUAUCGAACGGAUAUUCGCAUAUUGCGCGUUAUCCUGGUUCGAUAGGUUGGGACCGUUGGAUGGUCCCAAAUUUAAUAUAUGUUGAUCUAGGUAUUUCUAGGAUUGUGUAGGAUUUCACGGAUUGUGAAUCGGAGCCCCGGAUGUUCCGAAUAAAUAAUUUAAAGUUUAUAAUUUAUAUUAACCGUCAGAUCGUGCGAUCGUGAGUGAUCCGACCGUCCGAUCUGAACUAAACUUGCGGGACAAGUGUCCUAUACCUUGUAGAACCCAUAGGGACUUUCGGAUCAAAAUAUGGAGGUCGCGGGCCCCACAGGUCUGUUUGACCCAUGGUUGACCGUGAGUCUCCCUGAGUAAUCUCACCUUCCUAGGGGGGAUUAUCGGGUGCUCGACCAUUGUGGCGGGUUACACAAUAUUAGAAUUAAUAUACUUUUAUAUGUUUGUACAAGGGUACGAAUGUCAGUUUGGAGUGCUAUACGCACUACCUUAGGUACCUCCCCAGAUUUUGGUUACAUUACAAGUACCACCAAGUGAAAGUUAGGUCCCACGUGGCGUAGGUUAUCCGGCAUGCGGACAGACCCCAUACGUGGCGUUGGUUGUACCGGCGUAUG
RNAcentral lists this long non-coding RNA (619 nucleotides) under Prunus persica (peach). RNAcentral's name for it is "long non-coding RNA (PPER_LNC000242)". The record is from RNAcentral. Lineage: Eukaryota; Viridiplantae; Streptophyta; Magnoliopsida; Rosales; Rosaceae.